Molecule: ribosomal RNA, 434 nt
Filed under: uncultured Clostridium sp.
Lineage: Bacteria; Bacillati; Bacillota; Clostridia; Eubacteriales; Clostridiaceae
Description: partial 16S ribosomal RNA
Rfam family: Bacterial small subunit ribosomal RNA
Source: RNAcentral
ACGGAAGGCAGCAGUGGGGAAUAUUGCACAAUGGGGGAAACCCUGAUGCAGCGACGCCGCGUGAGCGAUGAAGUAUUUCGGUAUGUAAAGCUCUAUCAGCAGGGAAGAUAAUGACGGUACCUGACUAAGAAGCCCCGGCUAACUACGUGCCAGCAGCCGCGGUAAUACGUAGGGGGCAAGCGUUAUCCGGAUUUACUGGGUGUAAAGGGAGCGUAGACGGCAUGGCAAGUCUGAUGUGAAAGCCCGGGGCUAAACCCCGGGACUGCAUUGGAAACUGUCAAGCUAGAGUGCAGGAGAGGUAAGUGGAAUUCCUAGUGUAGCGGUGAAAUGCGUAGAUAUUAGGAGGAACACCAGUGGCGAAGGCGGCUUACUGGACUGUAACUGACGUUGAGGCUCGAAAGCGUGGGGAGCAAACAGGAUUAGAUACCAUGGUA